ACGGUCACAGGCUGUUAGGCGCGCCACUCACCUCAGCCGCUCGCAAAACCCUCUCCUCUCGAGAAGCAGCGCGGCGGAGACCAGAGAGAAGCAGUCGGCAGCCGGGAAGCCCGUCGCAUGCCUUUCUUCCUCGACGUGCCAUGAUUAACGGAAUAUUUGAGCACUGGGGAGUUGUAGUCAGAUCUGGAGCGACAGUGAAGUGUGACCCAGGAGAGUUCUGGUGCCAUGUUUCACUGGUUGGUUUCUACUUGUAAUGUUCACUAUUGGUUUAUCUUAUUUUUGUGCAGUUCCUGUUUUUUGACUUUUCAGUUCCUGUUUUUUGACCUCGAAAACCAACACCAUCUCUGCCCUUGGCUCCAAAUGUUGGCAUUGCAAGAGAAAUGUCACAAGUACCAAAGAAGGUAAUGAUCUUGUUCUUUCAGUAUUGGACAUCCCUAAUGUUUUUUAUCACUUGGCAUAAGCAACAUGGUGAUUGAUGUUUCAAAUGAUGAAUCUGAUGAGGAGGUUCCACAGGCUAUUCCAUUAUUCCCAAAAGCAGAUGGUAUAUAUCCUUGUUCUAUGUGCAUUUUGUUUAAGUGUCGGGGACCAUAAUUAAGGUACCCCCAAGACUCCUAAUCUCAGCUGGUAACCCCCCAUCAGCACAAAGCUGCAAAGGCCUGAUGGGUGCGAUUAAGUCAAGGCUCAGUCCACUCAAGGGACACGAUCUCGCCUCGCCCGAGCCCAGCCUCGGGCAAGGGCAGCCGACCCCGGAGGAUUUACGUCUCGCCCGAGGGCCCCCUCAGGCAACGGACACACCUUCGGCUCGCCCGAGGCCCAGUCUUUGCCAAGAAGCAACCUUGGCCAGAUCGCCACACCGACCGACCGUAUCGCAGGAGCAUUUAAUGCAAGGAUGGCCUGACACCUUAUCCUGACGCGCGCUCAUCAGUCGACAGAGCCGAAGUGACAGCAGUCACUUCGCCGCUCCACUGACCGACCUGACAAGAAGACAGCGCCGCCUGCAUCGCUCCGACUGCUGUGCC
Long non-coding RNA from Zea mays, 1019 nucleotides. RefSeq lists it as uncharacterized. Lineage: Eukaryota; Viridiplantae; Streptophyta; Magnoliopsida; Poales; Poaceae. The record is from RefSeq and is a predicted model, not a curated record. The transcript is spliced from 3 exons.